UAGUCCACGCCCUAAACGAUGAUUACUCGACGUGUGCGAUAUACGGUACGCGUCCAAGCGAAAGCAUUAAGUAAUCCACCUGGGAAGUACGUUCGCAAGAAUGAAACUCAAAGGAAUUGACGGGGGUCCGCACAAGCGGUGGAGCAUGUGGCUUAAUUCGAUGAUACGCGAGGAACCUUACCUGGGCUAGAAUGCUGCCUGACCGCUGGUGAAAGCCAGUUUCUUAGCAAUAAGCAGGUAGUA
This 243-nucleotide ribosomal RNA is filed under the name uncultured bacterium. Its description in RNAcentral is "partial 16S ribosomal RNA". It matches the Rfam family "Bacterial small subunit ribosomal RNA", at positions 791 to 1035 of the family's 1533-position model. The record is from RNAcentral.